AUUUAGAGGAAGGAGAAGUCGUAACAAGGUUUCCGUAGGUGAACCUGCGGAAGGAUCAUUGUCGAUGGCCCGCAAUCAGUUUGACCGGCGAACAUGUUUUAUCCGACCCACGGGGGUUGGCAUGAUCUCAUCCUCCCCCUGCCGGGAGGAGGCCGUGCACGGCGCGGACUCCCCUUGGCAAACACAAACCCCGGCGCCACGCGCGCCAAGGAAUCCAAAACUGUCCAGUGCGGCCCCGGGGGAGUUGGAGACAACGCCUCGCGGGUCCCGUCACCACACACGAAAGAGAAUGACUCUCGGCAAUGGAUAUCUCGGCUCUUGCAUCGAUGAAGAACGUAGCGAAAUGCGAUACUUGGUGUGAAUUGCAGAAUCCCGUGAACCAUCGAGUCUUUGAACGCAAGUUGCGCCCGAAGCCAUUAGGCCGAGGGCACGCCUGCCUGGGUGUCACACAAUGUUACCCUCACGCAAAAAGGGCUACCGUUAGCCAGUGCGUGGUGUGCACGCUGGCCUCCCGCGAGCGGCGUCCCGCGGUUGGCUGAAAAUCGAGUCCGCGGCCGGGUGCGCCGUGAUAAAAUGGUGGACGGGCAAUGCCCGAGACCAAUCACGCGCGAUCCCGUCCGGUGUGACCCCUGGACCCCUGCGGCGUCUUCGGAUGCCGUCGUCGAGACCUCAGGUCAGGCGGGACUACCCGCUGAGUUUA
This 700-nucleotide ribosomal RNA is filed under the name Pleurolobus gangeticus (sal-leaved desmodium). RNAcentral's name for it is "eukaryotic LSU rRNA". The stretch from base 292 to 447 matches the Rfam family "5.8S ribosomal RNA". RNAcentral also lists the same sequence under 1 other name. Lineage: Eukaryota; Viridiplantae; Streptophyta; Magnoliopsida; Fabales; Fabaceae. The record is from RNAcentral.